This 439-nucleotide ribosomal RNA is filed under the name uncultured bacterium. RNAcentral's name for it is "partial 16S ribosomal RNA". It matches the Rfam family "Bacterial small subunit ribosomal RNA", at positions 338 to 794 of the family's 1533-position model. The record is from RNAcentral.
CCUACGGGAGGCAGCAGUAAGGAAUCUUCCGCACUGGGCGAAAGCCUGACGGAGCAACGCCGCGUGGGCGAUGAAGGCCUUCGGGUCGUAAAGCCCUUUUCUGUGGGACGAUAAUGACGGUACCACAGGAAUAAGCCACGGCUAACUACGUGCCAGCAGCCGCGGUAAUACGUAGGUGGCUAGCGUUAUCCGGAAUCACUGGGCGUAAAGGGCGUCUAGGCGGUCGGGUAAGAGAGACGUAAAAGCUCCUGGCUCAACUGGGAGAGGUCGUUUCAGACUGCCCGGCUUGAGGGUCGGAGAGGGACGUGAAAUUCCCGGUGUAGUGGUGAAAUGCGUAGAGAUCGGGAGGAACACCCGUGGCGUAGGCGGCGUCCUGGCCGACACCUGACGCUGAAGCGCGAAAGCGUGGGGAGCGAACGGGAUUAGAUACCCCUGUAGU